The sequence is a ribosomal RNA, 437 nucleotides long. It matches the Rfam family "Bacterial small subunit ribosomal RNA", at positions 341 to 792 of the family's 1533-position model.
ACGGAAGGCAGCAGUGAGGGAUAUUGCGCAAUGGAGGAAACUCUGACGCAGCGACGCCGCGUGAAGGAAGAAGGUUUUCGAAUUGUAAACUUCUGUCCUCAGGGAAGAAACAAAUGACGGUACCUGGGGAGGAAGCCCCGGCUAACUACGUGCCAGCAGCCGCGGUAAUACGUAGGGGGCAAGCGUUGUCCGGAAUUAUUGGGUGUAAAGGGCGCGUAGGUGGCUAAGUAUGUCGAACGUGAAAUCUGUGGGCUUAACUUACAGUCUGCGUUCGAAACUGCAUGGCUUGAGUAAAGUAGAGGCAAGUGGAAUUUCCAGUGUAGCGGUGAAAUGCGUAGAUAUUGGAAGGAACACCAGUGGCGAAGGCGGCUUGCUGGGCUUUUACUGACGCUGAGGCGCGAAAGCGUGGGUAGCAAACAGGAUUAGAUACCCUGGUA